AGCUCCAAUAGCGUAUACUAAUGUUGUUGCAGUUAAAAAGCUCGUAGUCGGAUUUCAGAUUUGGUUCGUUUUCCUAUCAAAGGAUUAUGACUCAUUUCUUCUUUAACAGAAAGCUUCAUCACAUUCAUUUGUGGAGUUGUCUACCUGUUUCUUUUACUUUGAGAAAAUUUGAGUGUUCAAAGCAGGUUCUUGCCUGAAAAUUACUCUUGGAAUAAUAAUAUAGGACUCUGGUUCUAGUUUGUUGGUGAUCUAGUGCCGGAGUAAUGAUUAAUAGCAACGGUUGGGGUCAUUCGUACUGCAAAGCGAGAGGUGAAAUUCUUGGACCUUUGUAUGACGAACAACUGCGAAAGCAUUUGACUAGGACGUUUGCG
This 371-nucleotide ribosomal RNA is filed under the name uncultured eukaryote. Its description in RNAcentral is "SSU rRNA". It matches the Rfam family "Eukaryotic small subunit ribosomal RNA", at positions 587 to 972 of the family's 1831-position model. The record is from RNAcentral.